GGUUGAUCCUGCCAGUAGUCAUAUGCUUGUCUCAAAGAUUAAGCCAUGCAUGUCUAAGUAUAAACUGCUUAUACUGUGAAACUGCGAAUGGCUCAUUAAAUCAGUUAUAGUUUAUUUGAUGGUACCUUGCUACUCGGUUAUACCCGUAGUAAUUCUAGAGCUAAUACGUGCGUAAAUCCCGACUCCUGGAAGGGACGUAUUUAUUAGAUAAAAGGCCGACCGGGCUUUGCCCGACUCGCGGUGAAUCAUGAUAACUUCACGAAUCGCACGGCCUCCGUGCCGGCGAUGUUUC
This 292-nucleotide ribosomal RNA is filed under the name uncultured eukaryote. RNAcentral's name for it is "partial 18S ribosomal RNA". It matches the Rfam family "Eukaryotic small subunit ribosomal RNA", at positions 6 to 296 of the family's 1831-position model. The record is from RNAcentral.